CCGCCAAACAACUACGAGUCACACUUAAAACUUAAAAGACUUGACGGUACUUCAUCACGACCUAGAGGAGCCUGUCUGAUAACCGACAAUCCACGAUUAACCCAACCCUUUCUCGCCCAACAGUCUAUAUACCGCCGUCGCCAGCUUACCUUGUAAAAGAAAUAAAGUGAGCCAAACAGUACUGCACUAAAACGACAGGUCGAGGUGUAACCCAUGAAAGGGACUAAGAUGGGCUACAUUCUCCAACCGAGAAUACGAAUAGCACUAUGAAACUAGUGCCUGAAGGCGGAUUUAGCAGUAAGAUAGGAAUAAAACACCUAACUGAACACAACGCAAUGAAGUGCGUACACACCGCCCGUCAUCCCUGCCACACA
RNAcentral lists this ribosomal RNA (374 nucleotides) under Protobothrops jerdonii. RNAcentral describes it as "partial 12S ribosomal RNA". The record is from RNAcentral. Lineage: Eukaryota; Metazoa; Chordata; Lepidosauria; Squamata; Viperidae.